RNAcentral lists this long non-coding RNA (334 nucleotides) under Phoenix dactylifera (date palm). Its description in RNAcentral is "long non-coding RNA (PDAC_LNC019667)". The record is from RNAcentral. Lineage: Eukaryota; Viridiplantae; Streptophyta; Magnoliopsida; Arecales; Arecaceae.
GGGAAUUGGGGCGCUGAAGGGCACUCAUGAAUAGGGUGGGAUGGGCUAGAACAAAUAGUACACACUUGUGCUUGGGAAGAGUUCAUGUAAUGCCCACCUAUCAUCAGUUGGUCAAUCUUAUGGGACAAUGCAUCUACCUUGCUAGACAGGUCCAUAGAAUGACUUAUUUCACAAAUGGUCCCUUUUCUUUGAGAACUCGGGGGUGCUUGACGAGAACAUGAAGCAUGGUGGAGAGAGUUUUCAUUUAGAUUUUCAAAUAAUUUCCAUGUUUCAUGCUCAUUUUGAAGCAUGAAUGUCCCCCCACAUGCGGCAUCAAUCAUCUGACGGUUUCGUU